AAGUCGUAACAAGGUUUCCGUAGGUGAACCUGCGGAAGGAUCAUUAAAGUGUUUCUCAGGUAGAACCUGCCCCCAACUCGGGGGUAGGGACUGCCUGGAACGCCCACCCUUGUAUAACCAAACCAGUGUUGCCUUGGCGGGCCCGCCGGACUCGUUCCGGCCGCCGGGGGGUAAAUCCCCGGGCCCGAGCCCGCCAACGGACUUCAAUUGAACUUCUGAACUGUAUAAUGGCUGUCUGAGUGAUUAAGAAAUAUAAGCAAAACUUUCAACAACGGAUCUCUUGGUUCCGGCAUCGAUGAAGAACGCAGCGAAAUGCGAUAAGUAAUGUGAAUUGCAGAAUUCCGUGAAUCAUCGAAUCUUUGAACGCACAUUGCGCCCCCUGGUAUUCCGGGGGGCAUGCCUGUCCGAGCGUCAUUGCAACCCCUCAAGCCCGGCUUGUGUGUUGAACGGCAGUCUAGCUAAUGACUGGUUCCAAAUGCAGUGACGGCGUCACCAACUGGUGCUGAGUUGUAUGGGUAACUACGCAGCUUCUAGCCGAGUGGGGGCGCUGGUCUUAACUAAAUUACUUCUGUGGUUGACCUCGGAUCAAGGUAGGGAUACCCGCUGAACUUAA
This 613-nucleotide ribosomal RNA is filed under the name uncultured fungus. Its description in RNAcentral is "eukaryotic LSU rRNA". The stretch from base 261 to 414 matches the Rfam family "5.8S ribosomal RNA". Lineage: Eukaryota; Fungi. The record is from RNAcentral.